CCUACGGGCGGCAGCAGUGGGGAAUAUUGGACAAUGGGGGGAACCCUGAUCCAGCCAUGCCGCGUGUGUGAAGAAGGCCCUCGGGUUGUAAAGCACUUUCAGUGAGGAAGAACGCCUGGUGGUUAAUACCCAUCAGGAAAGACAUCACUCACAGAAGAAGCACCGGCUAACUCCGUGCCAGCAGCCGCGGUAAUACGGAGGGUGCGAGCGUUAAUCGGAAUUACUGGGCGUAAAGCGCGCGUAGGUGGCUUGAUAAGCCGGUUGUGAAAGCCCCGGGCUCAACCUGGGAACGGCAUCCGGAACUGUCAAGCUAGAGUGCAGGAGAGGAAGGUAGAAUUCCCGGUGUAGCGGUGAAAUGCGUAGAGGUCGGGAGGAAUACCAGUGGCGAAGGCGGCCUUCUGGACUGACACUGACACUGAGGUGCGAAAGCGUGGGUAGCAAACAGGAUUAGAUACCCCUGUAGUC
This 465-nucleotide ribosomal RNA is filed under the name Vreelandella stevensii. RNAcentral describes it as "partial 16S ribosomal RNA". It matches the Rfam family "Bacterial small subunit ribosomal RNA", at positions 338 to 795 of the family's 1533-position model. The record is from RNAcentral. Lineage: Bacteria; Pseudomonadati; Pseudomonadota; Gammaproteobacteria; Oceanospirillales; Halomonadaceae.